UCAUGUAACCAGAUGAGCAUACUCGGCAAUAAAGUCGUCUCCCGUGGCGCCCUGAAAUGCACUGAUUAGAAAGUAUAAACACAGAGAAAAUAGACGUGAACAUAUACAAAAUUAUUGGUAUAAACAAUUACUAAACUCAUAAUAUCAUGUGAGAAAACUACAAAAUGGCGAUUAUAUGACAUCAUUCUAAAUAAUACCACAAACUUUAAUAAUGAACGACCACAAUCACAUACAACGCAUUACAUGUUUAAAUCAGAAUAAGGAGAAAUGCAUAAAUUAUUGAUUUCAAUAUCAUAUAUCAAGCAACAAACUCAAUGUUUAAAAUUGUUGCAUUAUACUUAUUUUCCGUCAACUAAAAUCAAUAACAAUGAUUUAUAUCCACAGUAAAAAAAGAAAGCGUCAGUAAAAAGACGCGUGAGGGAUUGAAAUAAAGACAAACUUUCAUUUUUUCGUCAACGAAAGUAAAAAGAGAUUGUGAUUGUUUUAUUUCAAUGGCAAGUCAUACCAAAGUAAUAUUGGAGAGUGUACAAAUUUUCGGUAUGAGCUUUUAGGAUGAUCAAGUUAUCUUUUGCUGCGUUUCUAUACACUAAGGCAAAAACACUAAGUGAAUUAACAAAUUAAUUGUAUAAUUCGAAUAUUAUGAAAACGUUACGCUUGUCUGUUUUGGGGAUAAGUUAUUAUAAGAAAAGUGGUCUAAGCAUGUUUUUGUAGUUGUAUUUGGUGAAUCAGGUCAUUUGGCAAAGAUGAUCAUUUUAUUAACUGUUUCAUUAAGCUUAUUCUAAAACCUUAUAUAAGGGGAACCAAACGUUGCAAUUAUAGGUUUGUUACCCAAUACACACGAUCCACCAUUUCUUUCAUGUUUGUUCUAGUUAAUUAUUGCGGAAUUAAAGGUAGAGUUAGAAAUCACUGCCUCUGAUUAUGUGCAUCGCAGAAGAAUUCCGUAACCACCUGAACAUUUUGUCAAACAGAUGAAUUGGACGGCCAGUUACGGUGGCAUCCUGAUAGGAAAAUCGAGGCGAGUUGGAUCCGUGGCCGUCUUAAUAGGUUCAAUCUUCAAAGGUGCAGACUAGAUGUCACACUGGGAGCACCUUUGCGGCGGAACUUAGUAUCUUUUUGGAACGGUACAACUUUGUACUUCCCUUGAAGGUGCAAAUAAGAACCUUUGGAGUGCAAUUCUGCACUUUAUAUGUGCAACUUUGCACCUUUCAGAGAGGUGCAGAUUUCCAAAAAGGUUCAAAGUUGCACAUUAAAGAUGCUCCCGAUGUGACAUCGUGUCUGCACCUUGUAAAGAUGCAAAGUUUAACCCAUUUUUCUUAGUAGUGUUGAAACAAUGAGAAUUACUUGCAAGUAAAACACAAUACGAUAACGUUCCGAUGAAUAAUGCAAUCGUGGAACGGGAGCCAUUGUUGUUUCAUGAAACAUUUUUUUUUCCUGUUUUGUG
Molecule: long non-coding RNA, 1441 nt
Organism: Lytechinus variegatus (green sea urchin)
Lineage: Eukaryota; Metazoa; Echinodermata; Echinoidea; Temnopleuroida; Toxopneustidae
Exons: 2
Source: RefSeq, a predicted model, not a curated record